Molecule: ribosomal RNA, 129 nt
Filed under: Limosilactobacillus reuteri
Lineage: Bacteria; Bacillati; Bacillota; Bacilli; Lactobacillales; Lactobacillaceae
Description: Lactobacillus reuteri partial 16S ribosomal RNA
Source: RNAcentral
UAUUUUAUAUGAGAGUUUGAUCCUGGCUCAGGAUGAACGCCGGCGGUGUGCCUAAUACAUGCAAGUCGUACGCACUGGCCCAACUGAUUGAUGGUGCUUGCACCUGAUUGACGUUGGGUUAGCAGUGAG